UGAUUUUUUUCUAGCCUCUGAUAGCUUUCCCAUGUCCAUAUGCUUUGAGCAGAUUUUGCAGAAAACUACCAAUGAAUAAUACCCAUCCACUACACCCCUUCAAACUCUCAUCUCUGGCUCUUCAAUUUAACAAGACUGUUGAUCAUGUUUGGAUUUACCCAACUUGCCUGGACACUUGGAAGCCAAGGCCAGAUGAAAUAGUCUUGAAUCAUGGAGUUUUAAGAAUUUGGACUAAGGGGAUGCCUGUAAGAAGCAGAGAAGCAAUACAGAUGAACAAAAUAAGCUGGAAGUAGGAAAGCAAAG
This 303-nucleotide long non-coding RNA is filed under the name Fukomys damarensis (Damara mole-rat). RNAcentral's name for it is "lncRNA (ENSFDAG00000023953.1)". Lineage: Eukaryota; Metazoa; Chordata; Mammalia; Rodentia; Bathyergidae. The record is from RNAcentral.